AUUAAUGGGAUCCGAUAACCUACUUUUACCUUUUAUGCAAAAUACAACUUCAGAAGGUUGCAUAUAAUAUACCUCGUAUGUCAAGACCUAUCUUUAUUCAUAAUGUUGUUACCCAGCAACUGUUGUUUACUGUCCAAAAAAAAAAAGCUACUUGGCCGUGUGCAAACUAUGCAAACACCAUACGACGUGCGACUGUAAUGAUGGAAAUAAAUGUCAGUUAUCAACUGUCAAAAUGUUUCAUGAAAAGCGUAAUAAUUUAGUCGGUGCAAGUGCGUCCUUCAAGCUGCAGAAGCUUCGUUUUUCGCGGAAGUACGUGUCUUAACCCGGAACUGGACCUGCUGGAUAAAUCCUGCAUCGGGCCCUAACCAUCGCUGUGACCUGAACUUGGAACUUUAGAACUGUAUUGGGGACUUCGUUCAUGUUUUCACUGUUGAGGUGAGGCGAAAAGUUGUAUGUGCCACACGAUCCGAGACCAAAGUUUCUUGCAUCUCGCACCUCGAGUCUUUCGCUUCACUACAAGUAAGACAAAAGGGAUAUUCUUACAUUCAUUGUUGAACCACAAGCAACUAAAUUCCAAACCCCAUUUAUAUUGAUGCCUUGUGUCGGAUUUAGAACACAGCGUUAGAGCGAAGAAAAUCACUAAAGACCACAUCAGCAUCUUGUUCAGACUAAAGUUUAUUAUACAAGAAAGUCGGCUUUUAUAUCUGCAAACUAUAAUAUUAUGGUAAUUGUCUUAUACGAUGUUUAAGAGUUAUGGUUAUAACAAUAGAGCAGUGUGCCUAAGGUAUUGUUUUUAUUAAAGAACAAUGCAAAUAAGUCAGACAAUCGAAGCAGUCAAUCACCUGGAAUGGUAAUUAUUGAAAGCAAAGUGAAUACCAACCGAUUGCUUUACUUUUGCUUUAUUGAAUGCUUCUGCAUAUUCAAUGAACGUAGGUAUAUUUCAAUUCCGUUCGUCAUCAGCAGGUCGAUCAGUUAACCACUACAUAAUGAAUAAUUUUACAUGAAGGAACUAAUGAAUUUCGAGGCGCUCGGGGCUAAGAUAUAACAAACAUAUUCCAAUGAACAAAUACCAAAUAAGUAUAUAGCUUUAGAAGCAAUUCAUAAAGUUCCUCGAAAAGUAAAAUUGGGAAGCAGGAAGCAUGUUUUCUCAUCUAAGGCCACAAUUAGCUGAUGAAUACUAAUUCUGUGUUAGUUCGAAUACCUCUGAUCAUGACUAGUUAGUCCAUCCAAGCCCCAGUUAUUUGAUCCUUAUUUGAGAAAAGAUAAAGAGGCGAAUCAUAGGCCUAAACAAGCACGAGACAAGCGCUUACGACAAAGCUAUCGAGCCCAAACACACUAUUGACUCAGUUUAUCUUUGUGCAAACAUCGUCAACGGCCAAGCAUGUGACAACACAAUACGAGUAAGAGCAAGAGCACAUAUCGUGAAUAUUAAAUGGCAUUCAAUAGCUUUUGACUAUGACGUGGACUUUUAUUACAGGGUGUAACCGCAUCCCUCUGGAAGUAAGGCCCAGCAGCAUCAUGACCCGUAAUGGAAUUCACCUUAUUCUAAUUUACUGUUGUGGGAUCAAAGACUUGUACACCGGGAGUUUUUUAAUCGGGGUGCAUUUUUAUAACUAUUACUUUUUUUUGCACGUUCUUCUGGCUUGAUCCAAACCCAAAAGCAGUAAUCUGCUUAUGGCAAUUAUUAUUCUAUAAUUUAUGCAUAAGUAUUUUUUUACAUUUCUUUUAUUUGUAGGAUCACUUGAGUUUGAGUCUCAAUGAAUUAAUUAUGUUACGGACCACUUGCGCUGCUCGCCUUUGCUACUUGCGCUCGCUCUUGUGCACAUUAGAAAUGCGUUAGGCCCAUUACCAGUAAAGACUUAGUUUAGUGAAUGUCAUCUAAUUUUUUGACGAUGCAAUGUGGCGACAAAAUGUAAAUAAUUAGUUAAUGUAGUCUAUGUUUAGUUUAUAAGUAGUUUUAAGAAUUAUAUUGUAUGUUCGCAAAGGGCAGCUGUUGUUACCAUUAUUUGUACAGAUCAUCUAUAUGUAUAGGUACCUACACAGUGGACAAUAAAAACUUUCUAUUCUA
Molecule: long non-coding RNA, 2068 nt
Organism: Cydia pomonella (codling moth)
Lineage: Eukaryota; Metazoa; Arthropoda; Insecta; Lepidoptera; Tortricidae
Exons: 2
Source: RefSeq, a predicted model, not a curated record